Molecule: ribosomal RNA, 253 nt
Filed under: uncultured bacterium
Lineage: Bacteria
Description: partial 16S ribosomal RNA
Rfam family: Bacterial small subunit ribosomal RNA
Source: RNAcentral
UACGUAGGGGGCUAGCGUUGUCCGGAAUCAUUGGGCGUAAAGAGCGUGUAGGCGGCCCGAUAAGUCCGCCGUGAAAGUCCAGGGCUCAACCCCGGAAUGCCGGUGGAAACUGUCGGGCUGGAGUCCGGAAGAGGCGAGUGGAAUUCCUGGUGUAGCGGUGAAAUGCGCAGAUAUCAGGAGGAACACCAAUGGCGAAGGCAGCUCGCUGGGACGGUACUGACGCUGAGACGCGAAAGCGUGGGGAGCAAACAGG